CAGCAGCCGCGGUAAUACGUAGGUGGCAAGCGUUGUCCGGAAUUAUUGGGCGUAAAGCGCACGUAGGCGGCUUUGUAAGUUAGAGGUGAAAGCCUGGGGCUCAACUCCAGAAUUGCCUUUAAGACUGCAUCGCUUGAACGUCGGAGAGGUGAGUGGAAUUCCGAGUGUAGAGGUGAAAUUCGUAGAUAUUCGCAAGAACACCAGUGGCGAAGGCGGCUCACUGGCCCAUAACUGACGCUGAGGCACGAAAGCGUGGGGAGCAAACAGGAUUAGAUACCCGCGUAGUCCCUGUCCCUUAUAC
This 301-nucleotide ribosomal RNA is filed under the name uncultured bacterium. RNAcentral describes it as "partial 16S ribosomal RNA". It matches the Rfam family "Bacterial small subunit ribosomal RNA", at positions 509 to 807 of the family's 1533-position model. The record is from RNAcentral.